Molecule: non-coding RNA, 128 nt
Organism: Ciona intestinalis (vase tunicate)
Lineage: Eukaryota; Metazoa; Chordata; Ascidiacea; Phlebobranchia; Cionidae
Source: Rfam
GUGUUGAAUAAAAGGAGAGCUGGUUAGCACUCCCCUUGAUAAGGACGGACAUGUUGAUUGGUUCAGCCAUUCAAUACAUAUAAUGGAUAAGGCACUGUCACCAUGUGGCAUCUAUCCAUGUUUUGUAU